AUUGAACGCUGGCGGCAGGCCUAACACAUGCAAGUCGAACGGUAACAGGAAGCAGCUUGCUGCUUCGCUGACGAGUGGCGGACGGGUGAGUAAUGUCUGGGAAACUGCCUGAUGGAGGGGGAUAACUACUGGAAACGGUAGCUAAUACCGCAUAACGUCGCAAGACCAAAGAGGGGGACCUUAGGGCCUCUUGCCAUCGGAUGUGCCCAGAUGGGAUUAGCUAGUAGGUGGGGUAACGGCUCACCUAGGCGGCGAUCCCUAGCUGGUCUGAGAGGAUGACCAGCCACACUGGAGCUGAGACACGGUCCAGACACCGACGGGAGGCAGCGGUGGCGACUAGUGCACAAUGGGCGGAAGCCUGAUGCAGCCAUGCCGCGUGGAUGAAGAAGGCCUUCGGGUUGUAAAGUACUUUCAGCGGGGAGGAAGGGAGUAACGUUAAUACCUGUGCUCAUUGACGUUACCCGCAGAAGAAGCACCGGCUAACUCCGU
Molecule: ribosomal RNA, 489 nt
Filed under: uncultured bacterium
Lineage: Bacteria
Description: partial 16S ribosomal RNA
Rfam family: Bacterial small subunit ribosomal RNA
Source: RNAcentral